AACGAACGCUGGCGGCAUGCCUAACACAUGCAAGUCGAACGAGACCUUCGGGUCUAGUGGCGCACGGGUGCGUAACGCGUGGGAACCUGCCCUUAGGUUCGGAAUAACUCCCCGAAAGGGGUGCUAAUACCGGAUAAUGUCUUCAGACCAAAGAUUUAUCGCCUUUGGAUGGGCCCGCGUUGGAUUAGCUAGUUGGUAGGGUAAAAGCCUACCAAGGCGACGAUCCAUAGCUGGUCUGAGAGGAUGAUCAGCCACACUGGGACUGAGACACGGCCCAGACUCCUACGGGAGGCAGCAGUGGGGAAUAUUGGACAAUGGGCGAAAGCCUGAUCCAGCAAUGCCGCGUGAGUGAUGAAGGACUUAGGGUUGUAAAGCUCUUUUACCCGGGAUGAUAAUGACAGUACCGGGAGAAUAAGCUCCGGCUAACUCCGU
This 432-nucleotide ribosomal RNA is filed under the name uncultured bacterium. RNAcentral describes it as "partial 16S ribosomal RNA". It matches the Rfam family "Bacterial small subunit ribosomal RNA", at positions 29 to 506 of the family's 1533-position model. The record is from RNAcentral.